This 22-nucleotide microRNA is filed under the name Monodelphis domestica (gray short-tailed opossum). Its description in RNAcentral is "mdo-miR-7361-5p". The record is from miRBase by way of RNAcentral. Lineage: Eukaryota; Metazoa; Chordata; Mammalia; Didelphimorphia; Didelphidae.
UGGGACCCAAGAGGGGUGAGGA